Molecule: non-coding RNA, 45 nt
Organism: Picea glauca (white spruce)
Lineage: Eukaryota; Viridiplantae; Streptophyta; Pinopsida; Pinales; Pinaceae
Source: Rfam
AAAAUGGUGUCUUUAGACACCACCAUUGCUCUCAGGGAAGUUUUU